CAGCCGCCACGGGAAUACGUUGGUGGCGAGCGUUGUCCGGAAUUAUUGGGCGUAAAGGGAGCGCAGGCGGGCGAGUAAGUCUUUCUUAAAAGUGCGGGGCUCAACCCCGUGAGGGGAGAGAAACUACUCAUCUUGAGUGCAGGAGAGGAAAGCGGAAUUCCUAGUGUAGCGGUGAAAUGCGUAGAUAUUAGGAAGAACACCAGUGGCGAAGGCGGCUUUCUGGACUGUAACUGGCGCUGAGGCUCGAAAGCCAGGGGAGCGAACGGGAUUAGAUACCCCUGUAGUCCCUGUCUCUUAUACC
RNAcentral lists this ribosomal RNA (301 nucleotides) under uncultured bacterium. RNAcentral describes it as "partial 16S ribosomal RNA". It matches the Rfam family "Bacterial small subunit ribosomal RNA", at positions 509 to 808 of the family's 1533-position model. The record is from RNAcentral.